UGAAAAAUAUCAAUUUUGAGCCAAGUUAUGAGCAUUAGAAGUUGGUGGCCUAGAAACCCAAAUUUUUGGAUUUGUAGGCCAUCAA
Molecule: non-coding RNA, 85 nt
Organism: Caenorhabditis elegans
Lineage: Eukaryota; Metazoa; Nematoda; Chromadorea; Rhabditida; Rhabditidae
Source: Ensembl